This 72-nucleotide transfer RNA is filed under the name Deltaproteobacteria bacterium. Its description in RNAcentral is "tRNA-His". It matches the Rfam family "tRNA". Rfam says of the family: Transfer RNA (tRNA) molecules are approximately 80 nucleotides in length. Their secondary structure includes four short double-helical elements and three loops (D, anti-codon, and T loops). Lineage: Bacteria; Pseudomonadati; Myxococcota; Myxococcia. The record is from RNAcentral.
GUGGGUGUAGCUCAGCGGUAGAGCGUCGGACUGUGGCUCCGAAUGUCGCGGGUUCGAACCCCGUCAUCCACC